Molecule: ribosomal RNA, 484 nt
Filed under: uncultured bacterium
Lineage: Bacteria
Description: partial 16S ribosomal RNA
Rfam family: Bacterial small subunit ribosomal RNA
Source: RNAcentral
AUUGAACGCUGGCGGCAGGCCUAACACAUGCAAGUCGAGCGGAUGAAGGGAGCUUGCUCCUGGAUUCAGCGGCGGACGGGUGAGUAAUGCCUAGGAAUCUGCCUGGUAGUGGGGGAUAACGUCCGGAAACGGGCGCUAAUACCGCAUACGUCCUGAGGGAGAAAGUGGGGGAUCUUCGGACCUCACGCUGUCAGAUGAGCCUAGGUCGGAUUAGCUAGUUGGUGGGGUAAAGGCCUACCAAGGCGACGAUCCGUAACUGGUCUGAGAGGAUGAUCAGUCACACUGGAACUGAGACACGGUCCAGACUCCUACGGGAGGCAGCAGUGGGGAAUAUUAGACAAUGGGCGAAAGCCUGAUCCAGCCAUGCCGCGUGUGUGAAGAAGGUCUUCGGAUUGUAAAGCACUUUAAGUUGGGAGGAAGGGCAGUAAGUUAAUACCUUGCUGUUUUGACGUUACCAACAGAAUAAGCACCGGCUAACUUCGUG